Centropristis striata (black sea bass) is the source of this 1030-nucleotide long non-coding RNA. RefSeq lists it as uncharacterized. The transcript is spliced from 3 exons. Lineage: Eukaryota; Metazoa; Chordata; Actinopteri; Perciformes; Serranidae. The record is from RefSeq and is a predicted model, not a curated record.
UUUUCCAACAGGUUUGUUUGAACUUAAGGAAACACACAGUUGUUUGAGGACCCCAGUGUGCUACAGGCAAAAGUUGUAACCUUCAAACUCUCAAAAAGCCCAUAAAACAUAAAACAGUUGGUCGAGCCGACGCAGCGCUGAGCUCUCAGCGGUGGAGGAAUGCAUCGUAUUUUGUUCCCAUUACCAGCCUGCCAACUCCCGGCUCCGUCUGGUGCAGCGUCCCAUCAGCCCACAGGCUCAGCUGACUGAUCGAUAGACCACUUAGCGGCCGUGAGCUACACAUCCCAGUCAUUUGACCUGCAGGAGCUGUGGGAAUAGGCACGCAAUCCAAUAAGCAUCGAGCCGGUGAGACAAGCGAGCCUGACCGCCAACUUGAGGAACUUCCCUCCUCUGUGCUCCGGAUCUGCAGAUUCUGCCCGUUUCAGCUAUCGUCACACAUUUAUGGUGAGAUGAAGAUGAGAUAUUGAUUUCACCUCCUCCUCAAUAAAGCAACUAAAGACAUCUGGAUUAGUUCCACAAGCCAAUUCUCCAUAGCAAGUGCAGGGAAAGACAGGGACGUACUUCAUUCUGUAUAUCGUAAUCUAAACUUUGUGCAGAAUUUUUAAAUAAAAGACUCGUAAUAAACACACAUUUUUGCAAUUUUUGCCCUAAAAGGACCUGAUAACACUCACAUUGAGAUGUUCAUUUAUUCAAUCUAUUUGCAAGUAAACCAGAGCUCAUCAUCAUCAUAGUUUGACAAUAUUUUGAAGCAAAAAAAAAUCUCAAACCCUUGCUUGUGCCAUCAUCAUAAAUAUAUGUACUGCUUUUUCUUUGUUUUAUUUCGCUGUAAACUCACAAUCUUUAGGAUUUGGUCCACUGGUUGGACAAAACUUGCGAUGUGAACAUGUUGUGAGAAGAUUUUCUUUAAUAAUUUAUAGACAAAAUAAUAAUUUAUAUAAUCAAGAAACUAAUAAGCUGAUUUAUUGAUAAUGAAAAUAUUUCUUCUUUCCUUCUUCUGCAAUAAAGUAUACUGUGUGAAUUGUGAAAAUAA